UACGGGGGGGGCAAGCGUUGUUCGGAAUUACUGGGCGUAAAGGGCUCGUAGGUGGCCAACUAAGUCAGACGUGAAAUCCCUCGGCUUAACCGGGGAACUGCGUCUGAUACUGGAUGGCUUGAGUGUGGGAGAGGGAUGCGGAAUUCCAGGUGUAGCGGUGAAAUGCGUAGAUAUCAGGAGGAACACCGGUGGCGAAGGCGCUCAUCUGGCCCGAUACUGACGCUGAGGCGCGAAAGCUAGGGGAGCAAACGGG
Molecule: ribosomal RNA, 253 nt
Filed under: uncultured bacterium
Lineage: Bacteria
Description: partial 16S ribosomal RNA
Rfam family: Bacterial small subunit ribosomal RNA
Source: RNAcentral